CACACUAUCAUUAACUGAAUCCAUAGGUUAAUGAGGCGAACCGGGGGAACUGAAACAUCUAAGUACCCCGAGGAAAAGAAAUCAACCGAGAUUCCCCCAGUAGCGGCGAGCGAACGGGGAGGAGCCCAGAGCCUGAAUCAGUGUGUGUGUUAGUGGAAGCGUCUGGAAAGGCGCGCGAUACAGGGUGACAGCCCCGUACACAAAAAUGCACAUGCUGUGAGCUCGAUGAGUAGGGCGGGACACGUGGUAUCCUGUCUGAAUAUGGGGGGACCAUCCUCCAAGGCUAAAUACUCCUGACUGACCGAUAGUGAACCAGUACCGUGAGGGAAAGGCGAAAAGAACCCCGGCGAGGGGAGUGAAAAAGAACCUGAAACCGUGUACGUACAAGCAGUGGGAGCACGCUUAGGCGUGUGACUGCGUACCUUUUGUAUAAUGGGUCAGCGACUUAUAUUCUGUAGCAAGGUUAACCGAAUAGGGGAGCCGAAGGGAAACCGAGUCUUAACUGGGCGUUAAGUUGCAGGGUAUAGACCCGAAACCCGGUGAUCUAGCCAUGGGCAGGUUGAAGGUUGGGUAACACUAACUGGAGGACCGAACCGACUAAUGUUGAAAAAUUAGCGGAUGACUUGUGGCUGGGGGUGAAAGGCCAAUCAAACCGGGAGAUAGCUGGUUCUCCCCGAAAGCUAUUUAGGUAGCGCCUCGUGAAUUCAUCUCCGGGGGUAGAGCACUGUUUCGGCAAGGGGGUCAUCCCGACUUACCAACCCGAUGCAAACUGCGAAUACCGGAGAAUGUUAUCACGGGAGACACACGGCGGGUGCUAACGUCCGUCGUGAAGAGGGAAACAACCCAGACCGCCAGCUAAGGUCCCAAAGUCAUGGUUAAGUGGGAAACGAUGUGGGAAGGCCCAGACAGCCAGGAUGUUGGCUUAGAAGCAGCCAUCAUUUAAAGAAAGCGUAAUAGCUCACUGGUCGAGUCGGCCUGCGCGGAAGAUGUAACGGGGCUAAACCAUGCACCGAAGCUGCGGCAGCGACGCUGAUGCGUUGUUGGGUAGGGGAGCGUUCUGUAAGCCUGCGAAGGUGUGCUGUGAGGCAUGCUGGAGGUAUCAGAAGUGCGAAUGCUGACAUAAGUAACGAUAAAGCGGGUGAAAAGCCCGCUCGCCGGAAGACCAAGGGUUCCUGUCCAACGUUAAUCGGGGCAGGGUGAGUCGACCCCUAAGGCGAGGCCGAAAGGCGUAGUCGAUGGGAAACAGGUUAAUAUUCCUGUACUUGGUGUUACUGCGAAGGGGGGACGGAGAAGGCUAUGUUGGCCGGGCGACGGUUGUCCCGGUUUAAGCGUGUAGGCUGGUUUUCCAGGCAAAUCCGGAAAAUCAAGGCUGAGGCGUGAUGACGAGGCACUACGGUGCUGAAGCAACAAAUGCCCUGCUUCCAGGAAAAGCCUCUAAGCAUCAGGUAACAUCAAAUCGUACCCCAAACCGACACAGGUGGUCAGGUAGAGAAUACCAAGGCGCUUGAGAGAACUCGGGUGAAGGAACUAGGCAAAAUGGUGCCGUAACUUCGGGAGAAGGCACGCUGAUAUGUAGGUGAAGCGACUUGCUCGUGGAGCUGAAAUCAGUCGAAGAUACCAGCUGGCUGCAACUGUUUAUUAAAAACACAGCACUGUGCAAACACGAAAGUGGACGUAUACGGUGUGACGCCUGCCCGGUGCCGGAAGGUUAAUUGAUGGGGUCAGCGCAAGCGAAGCUCUUGAUCGAAGCCCCGGUAAACGGCGGCCGUAACUAUAACGGUCCUAAGGUAGCGAAAUUCCUUGUCGGGUAAGUUCCGACCUGCACGAAUGGCGUAAUGAUGGCCAGGCUGUCUCCACCCGAGACUCAGUGAAAUUGAACUCGCUGUGAAGAUGCAGUGUACCCGCGGCAAGACGGAAAGACCCCGUGAACCUUUACUAUAGCUUGACACUGAACAUUGAGCCUUGAUGUGUAGGAUAGGUGGGAGGCUUUGAAGUGUGGACGCCAGUCUGCAUGGAGCCGACCUUGAAAUACCACCCUUUAAUGUUUGAUGUUCUAACGUUGACCCGUGAUCCGGGUUGCGGACAGUGUCUGGUGGGUAGUUUGACUGGGGCGGUCUCCUCCUAAAGAGUAACGGAGGAGCACGAAGGUUGGCUAAUCCUGGUCGGACAUCAGGAGGUUAGUGCAAUGGCAUAAGCCAGCUUGACUGCGAGCGUGACGGCGCGAGCAGGUGCGAAAGCAGGUCAUAGUGAUCCGGUGGUUCUGAAUGGAAGGGCCAUCGCUCAACGGAUAAAAGGUACUCCGGGGAUAACAGGCUGAUACCGCCCAAGAGUUCAUAUCGACGGCGGUGUUUGGCACCUCGAUGUCGGCUCAUCACAUCCUGGGGCUGAAGUAGGUCCCAAGGGUAUGGCUGUUCGCCAUUUAAAGUGGUACGCGAGCUGGGUUUAGAACGUCGUGAGACAGUUCGGUCCCUAUCUGCCGUGGGCGCUGGAGAACUGAGGGGGGCUGCUCCUAGUACGAGAGGACCGGAGUGGACGCAUCACUGGUGUUCGGGUUGUCAUGCCAAUGGCACUGCCCGGUAGCUAAAUGCGGAAGAGAUAAGUGCUGAAAGCAUCUAAGCACGAAACUUGCCCCGAGAUGAGUUCUCCCUGACUCCUUGAGAGUCCUGAAGGAACGUUGAAGACGACGACGUUGAUAGGCCGGGUGUGUAAGCGCAGCGAUGCGUUGAGCUAACCGGUACUAAUGAACCGUGAGGCUUAACCUUACAACGCCGAAG
RNAcentral lists this ribosomal RNA (2774 nucleotides) under Escherichia coli. RNAcentral's name for it is "bacterial LSU rRNA". It matches the Rfam family "Bacterial large subunit ribosomal RNA". Lineage: Bacteria; Pseudomonadati; Pseudomonadota; Gammaproteobacteria; Enterobacterales; Enterobacteriaceae. The record is from RNAcentral.